AUUGAACGCUGGCGGCAGGCCUAACACAUGCAAGUCGAGCGGAUGAAGGGAGCUUGCUCCUGGAUUCAGCGGCGGACGGGUGAGUAAUGCCUAGGAAUCUGCCUGGUAGGGGGGGAUAACGUCCGGAAACGGGCGCUAAUACCGCAUACGUCCUGCGGGAGAAAGUGGGGGAUCUUCGGACCUCACGCUAUCAGAUGAGCCUAGGUCGGAUUAGCUAGUUGGUGGGGUAAAGGCCUACCAAGGCGACGAUCCGUAACUGGUCUGAGAGGCUGAUCAGUCACACGGGAACUGAGACACGCUCCAGACUCCUACGAGAGGCAGCAGUGGCGAAUAUUGGACAGUGGGCGAAAGCCUGAUCCAGCCAUGCCGCGUGUGUGAAGAAGGUCUUCGGAUUGUAAAGCACUUUAAGUUGGGAGGAAGGGCAGUAAGUUGAUACCUUGCUGUUUUGACGUUACCAACAGAAUAAGCACCGGCUAACUUCGUG
RNAcentral lists this ribosomal RNA (484 nucleotides) under uncultured bacterium. Its description in RNAcentral is "partial 16S ribosomal RNA". It matches the Rfam family "Bacterial small subunit ribosomal RNA", at positions 30 to 507 of the family's 1533-position model. The record is from RNAcentral.